This 945-nucleotide ribosomal RNA is filed under the name uncultured archaeon. Its description in RNAcentral is "bacterial SSU rRNA". It matches the Rfam family "Archaeal small subunit ribosomal RNA", at positions 43 to 999 of the family's 1478-position model. The record is from RNAcentral.
UCUAAGCCAUGCAAGUUAGGUAGCAAUACCGGCGACAUGCUCAGUAACACGUAGUUAAUCUACCAUAUGGCAGAGGAUAACCUCGGAAACCUGAGGGUAACACUCUAUAAGGAAUGCAUUCUGGAAGGAGGCAUUCUUCAAACGUAAGGCCAUAUGAUGAGACUGCGGCGGAUUAGGUAGUUGGUAAGGUAACGGCUUACCAAGCCUAUGAUCCGUACGGGCCUUGGAAGAGGGAACCCGGAGAGGGACACUGAGAUACUGGUCCCAGCCCUACGGGGUGCAGCAGGCGCGAAAACUUCACAAUGCACGAAAGUGUGAUGGGGGGACUCAAAGUGCCUAUGUUUUACAUAGGCUUUUGCCGACUCAAAACUGGUCGGAGAAUAAGUGGUGGGCAAGACUGGUGCCAGCCGCCGCGGUAACACCAGCAUCACGAGUGGGAGUCGAUAUUAUUGGGCCUAAAGCGUCCGUAGCAGGCCUACUAAAUUGCUUGUGAAAUCGAAUAGCUCAACUAUUCGGAUUGCAGGUAAGACUGGUAGGCUAGAGACCGGGAGACGUUAGAGGUAUUCAAAGGGGAGCGGUAAAAUGCGAGAAUCCUUUGAGGACCACCUGUUGCGAAGGCGUCUAACAAUAACGGGUCUGACUGUGAGGGUCGAAAGCUAGGGGAGCGAACUGGAUUAGAUACCCAAGUAGUCCUAGCCCUAAACGCUGCGAGUUAGGUGUCGCGUAAUCUACGGGAUUACGCGGUAUUGGAGCGAAGGCGUUAAACUCGCCGCCUGGGAAGUACGGCCGCAAGACUGAAACUUAAAGGAAUUGGCGGGGGAGCACCACAAGGGGUGCGACGUGCGGUUUAAUCGAAUUCAACGCCGAAAAUCUCACCAGAGGCGACGGCAGGAUGAAAGACAGCCUAAAGGGCUUUCUUGACGAGCCGAGAGGAGGUGCAUGGCC